RNAcentral lists this small nuclear RNA (23 nucleotides) under Arabidopsis thaliana (thale cress). RNAcentral's name for it is "snRNA_17258". The record is from RNAcentral. Lineage: Eukaryota; Viridiplantae; Streptophyta; Magnoliopsida; Brassicales; Brassicaceae.
GUUUUCUUUAUCAGAUAAUAACU